Epinephelus lanceolatus (giant grouper) is the source of this 1313-nucleotide non-coding RNA. Lineage: Eukaryota; Metazoa; Chordata; Actinopteri; Perciformes; Serranidae. The record is from RefSeq and is a predicted model, not a curated record.
GCCAAAGCUUUAUAUGGGGGAGAGCUGCGCCUCUCAGAUGUGCGUCCCCCCACCUUAUCCGGAAACCUGAGCGUGUGUGUCGGCAGUGUGGUUUGGCGUGGCAGAAUUUGAUCCACGUGGCUGUCUUGAGACGCAGGUCGGCGCGUCUCCUCUGCUCACUUUGCCAGAGUUGGCCUGUACUCUGGCCGGGGGUUGGGAGUGCGUGGCCUCGGAGCCGUGCGCAAUAAUCCGCGCACCGUGUUGGGAACCCUCAGCUAUAAAGGUGGUUGGUUGGUGGCUAUCUCUCCUGUUGCCUGUGACGCUGCGCCCUCACUCACGGCAGGUGGCUCCUCCUCUGACGUGGGCCGCUGCGCUGCUGCUGCUGUUCUGUCCACCUGUUCUGUCUCGGGUUCACCCCAGCAAGCUUAUUGUUCUCUUACAUUUGUGUUUAUUGUUUUUCGUUGUUUUGUUUUUUUUGACAUCAUCAUUGUGUGUGUGCGCGGGUGUUUGGAGUUUCGCACGCCUGGAGUAAGUCAAUCUGGAUGAAACUCAAGUGUUGGCUGAACUGUAUGCAGUGCUGCUCAUGUGGAGGAAAUGAAUGCAGCAUAGGACUUAAAGCUACACCAAGAGGACUGAUCCACGUCAGCAAUCUAUUAGUAUUGGUUGAUUAUUGUUUCUUUGUAUUGUAAUUAGAUAAUUAUUUCGAUCAUUGGUGGAUUUUGUGACCGUUGUUGUUUUCUGUAGAUUUUUUUUUGUGUUUAGUUAUCCAGUUAUUUUUGCAUAGGUUUUGGUUUCUUUUUUUUUUUUUCGUUUAUUAUUUGUUUGUUAUAUCAACAAAAGCACAAUCAACCUUGGUGGAGACCUCCUGGGCCCGGCAUAGUGUGGUGUUGGGGCAGUUUCUGGCUUGGUUCUGUUUUUUUCUUGCCCCUUGCCUUGACUAAUAUCUGCCUCUUUUGUUGGACAGGAGCUGUUGGGCUGGUGUGGCGAGCGACUGACUGAUUCCUGCGGUGGCGGUCCCCUCACUUCCUGUACAGUAGUGCACAUGGGUGUCAGUUGAUGGUGUGUGGUUUCUUUUUUUCUUCACGUGUGGUGUGCCUCAUCAGGACCCUUCCCCUCCCCCUCAGUCGUCGCCGCCUGGUGAGCCCUCAGCCCCUUUACACAGCACAUGCCUUUUUUUUUUGGCAAACUUAACCAACCUGUCAAGAGGCCCCAGAGGAUUGUGCAAUAAUUUGCCUUUUGUUAUUAUUAUUGUAAUCUUGCUUGCAUCAUCACUGAGAUUGGUCAGCAUUUUAAAUUUUGAAAUAUCGUUAAUAAACUUUCUCUUUUAUAUUUUA